GUGAGUAUCUCCCUGUAGCUUAUCUGUACGUCUGUCUUGUUUUGACAGUGUACCGCUCACAUGCAAAAAUAUGUCGCAAUACUUUCCUGUGUGAGUGAUACAUAGUUAAUAUGAUCAAUAGAGGCUUUAGAGGCUUUUUAGCAUGAUUUUAUCCAUCUGGCUGUAACCAGAUGGUCACCAUUACAACAAGUCAGUUUGUGAAAUUUCUUCCAUCCUAGAUAUUCCAGGAUUAACUGUAAAUGUUAUUGUUGCAAAGUGGAAGCACUUAGUAACCAUAACAACGCAUCUGCAAAGUGGCAGACCACGUCAAGAUGGUAUAGCUCGCAGCCAUACCAAUUUAAACACGCCUGGUCUCAUCUGAUGGGCAAGCUGGUCGUUUGCUAAUCAAAAGAGCAAGUCUUUUGUCCUGUGUAACCCAUAUCAACUACACCCUGUCACAUGACCCACAUCAGCUGAUUUGAGGUCCCUCUCAUGAUUUGCUCCUUCCACGUUGUGGCAACUAUGAAAACCGGCUGUGGAGGGAUACUUCCGGGUUCGACUCCUGCUGUUGCUGUAAGCUUAUGGCGUUUAGAACUGCGUUGGAAAACAAAGCGUUUUCUCCCCUCAAUUCAUCUAUAAACUCAUUUCACCUCAGCGGUCAGGUUUUUUUCCCCCCUUUGAAUCGAUCUUCUUCAUAUUGAAGUGGCGAGCCGGUAGGACCAUUCUUUUUUCCCCCUCUUUCCCCCACUUUGCCGUCUUUGGAUUACGGACAUAUUUCCCCAUUACAUGAAGCUGGACCCUAAGGAGGAAUUCCUUAAAGGUGAACUUUAAAAAAAAGGACCAAAAGGACUCUUAACAAAAGGACUCUUGCACAGAGAAUCACAGCAUUAAUUUAUUAAUUAAUUGUGGACAUUUAUUUAUGUUGUGUGUUGUAUUAAUUAUUUUUUUCCAUUCCCCCCAUUUAUUCAAUAUAUUUUUGGUACAAGAUAUUGCAGUCUUUGGUUUCGUCAUCCACACCAUCUAGGCUCCAUAAAGAACUAUUUCUUCUGCGUGUCAGUCAGUAAACUCACCCAUUGCAAUAAAACUAGCCCUUAAAUAACUUUGCGUUACACCUGUCUUUCUCCCCUAACCCCAACUGGUGGCGGCAGAUGGCUGCCCCUCCCUGAGUCUGGUACUGUUGGAGGUUUCUUCUUGUUAAAAGGGAGUUUUCCCUUUCCACUGUUGCAAAUACUGCUACACUCGAAGGAUGCCACAAUGGAUUUCUUUGACUUAUGAUUACAGUUAUCACUUUUUGAUCACUUUUGUACAAUUAGUGUUUACAGUAAUGGUGCAAGUAAUGGUCAAGUUGCAGAUCCCAACAUCAUGUUGAGAUCUGCAACUUGACAUGACAAACAUACAUAACGUACUUGUAAGUGAAAAAUUAAACUCUAUACUGUAUAUCACAAAGGUCCCUUACACCAUUACUUAUAGGAGAAUAAUGAUCAAAAACAGAAGCAAAGUUUGUACAAGUCUAGAUACUGACCAUAGUUGGGCUGACGGUAGUAUGCUCCAUGAAGUGCCUAACAUGGAGACAAAAUCUAGCAAGUAAAAACCGGUUAAAGCUGUUCGUCUUGCUUCCUUGCUUCGUUAACGGGAAUAAGUCUCUAAACCAGUGGGGCCUGUGGAAACGCAAACCCAACACUGUGUCUCAAUCUCGUGGCCCAUGUCACCUCUACUUAGGGCCCGCAUAAUGACGUGAAGAAAUACUUUUUAAAAUUAUUGUUCAAAAAAUUAUUUAAUAUGAAGGCAAUAGGCAGAGUGUUACAGGCAUAGCCCUAAAGAAUGUAGCCUCAUGGGCAGUGUAGCCCAGUUGUAAGUAAGCUAUUAAGACUCGACUGUACACUGUGUUCGUGUUUUCCUCCGAAACAAUAAGUUCCGUUGGAGCAGCCUUUCAAUGCCUCUCUCUGUCUCUCGCUAGCAAAGUUGAUCCAGACAACAAAGUAAAGCUAGUUUUCAGCUAUGAGCCCGACACAGAACCCGACGUAUUAGCCAGAGGUCCCUUUACUACGGUUCGGAGCCGCGGACCUGUUUUAUACACACGCGGAAUAGUUUUCUGCACGAGAUCGCUGCAAAAAGUGCAGCCUUACCUAAUGUCCACCCUACUGUUACUCAUUUUAUAUUAAGAUUUAAAAAUCUAGUAGGUAUUGGUGUGGCGAGUAACCUUCAGUAAUAGCAAUACACACACAGCAAUAGUACAUUCAUGUAGUUGUAAAAAGCAUGAUAAUAUAUUAAGUAAUCCAAAGUAUUCAGAAUAUUUUACUCUCAUUGAGUAACGUAUUCUGAAUACGUUACAAAAUACAUUUUGGGGCAUGUAUUCUGUAAUCUGUAGUGGAAUACAUUUUAAAAGUAACCUUCCCAACACUGGUCGCAGGAUGCUGUGAGAUUAUUAUAUUAUCUUAUGCCACGUUAUACCCCUAAUUAAAGAUUGUGAAAUCAUUAUGUAGUUUUAGCUUGCAUUAUUCUCCUGACUUAGAAGAAAUUGAUAACUAUUACAUUUAUUAAACUGAUUUGUAUUACAUUAGACUGCUGCAUUAUUGUGAAUAAAUGAUAUUGUUUUAUGAUGCAUGAUACUGCUGAGUUAUAAGAAAUACUGUUUUCAGAGAGUCAUGGCCUUAUUUGUCUGAAGAGAACAGAGCAUACCGGAGAGGUUUUCUGCCCCAUCUCAUCAGGAGGAGAUAAAACAGGGGGCCAAGGCCGUCACUUAGGCGCCGUAAGAGAGAAAGAAUGUGGAUGUUUAGGUUUUAUGACUAGGUGGAGGGGGGCUGAAGCUAUAAGAAUGUGAGAAACGCUCAGACACGUCGAGAUCAGGCGGACACCCUCCCGCGCUCAUCUCCCCUCCGGAUGGUUUAAGCUCAAAGGUGUUGUUUGGAAUAAUGAGAAUUGUAUGGAAUAAAGAGAUUAUUGAUUGAGCAUUUAUACACUGAGUGUUGUCCUUCCUUCAGCCCAAAGAUCAAAAGAACUGGAGAAUUUAACAAUGCUCGGAUGCGUUGCUAUGACGACAACCAUGCACAUUAGGUAGCGCUGGAUUGUAGUGGAAAACCACUCGAUCCCAUUCAUGGUGUUCCGUGGCCAGUCGAUCAGAGUAGGCACUUAUGGAAAUGGGACUUUUGAGAAAAAGUUUUUUGAGUUUUUUUGCGAACAAAGAUGAUUUGGAGAACUCUAGUAAACACAGAGGGACAAAGUUGAUGAGCAAUAAUAUGAAGCUGUGGGGAAAGAGUUGUGCCCAGCUUGAGUGAUUCUUGUAUGGAAAUGUCAUUCUUGAUGAUCCACAUGUUUAAUUUAGCAAUGAUUUUAUACCGGAUACCCUUUAUCCAUUCAUACAGGCUUGGGACCCGUACUAAGAAUACACUUGCUUGUACACUUAUAAAUUAAGAAACACUAAUUUACGUAACCACAUGAAUACCUUUUGGCUGUGGGAAUUCUGAGUACCUGUACACGAUUACCUGUUGUAAUGCUAUGUAUUCUGUUUACACAAUUCUGUAGACCAUUAAACAUAACCAGAUGUUGCAUGUAAGAUGGCAAUAUUUUUUAAAUAAGAAAAAAGCUAUUUCAGACCUUUUAAUGAAGUAUAUGCAGUUUAUUCAUUACAAAAUGACACUGAAUACAAGCAGUCAGAACAGUCAGGCAAC
This is a long non-coding RNA of Oreochromis aureus, 3647 nucleotides long. NCBI's taxonomy places the organism in Eukaryota, Metazoa, Chordata, Actinopteri, Cichliformes, Cichlidae. The record is from Ensembl.